CCGCUUCGCUCAGCGCUAUUAUUUCCUCACAGUCAGUGAAUGGAGGCCGUGGUUUGGAAGUCGCAAUUUCUGUUUAGAAAAUAACAGGCGUUUGUGUAAAACGAUCGGCACAUUUCGUACGGAGGAGCUUUAAAACUAGAGUGGUGUGCGUCAGGGCUUGAGGCUGUAGGUGUGAGCGUGGCAGCUGAGGCUGCUGUUCAUCUGCCCCUCUCCUCCCAUUCAGGUUUGUUGGGAGCCAGGGAUUUUUUUUGUUGUUGUUCGUCUGAAAGCAUUCCCAGCGGAUCGCGGUGGGGUUGAGGCCUACUGCAAAGCAUUCACAUGAAUCUCCUCGGAUAAGAGAGAGGGGAAGCGCCAGCAACAGUCACGAAUUCCUGGAAAAUGUCGGAUGGCCAGGAUCUAACAACAGCCCCGUCGCAGCCGCUCGAUAGGAGUUGUUGGGUGUGUUUUGCCACAGAUGAAGAUGAUCGGACAGCAGAAUGGGUGAGACCCUGCAAGUGCAGGGGCUCCACUAAAUGGGUUCAUCAAGCUUGUCUACAACGAUGGGUAGAUGAGAAGCAAAGGGGCAACAGUACAGCCAGAGUGGCAUGUCCACAGUGCAAUGCUGAAUAUUUAAUUGUCUUUACAAAACUAGGUCCUGUUGUUUAUGUAUUGGAUCUUGCAGACCGUCUAAUCUCAAAAGCAUGCCCAUUUGCAGCAGCUGGAAUCAUGGUGGGUUCUAUCUACUGGACUGCAGUCACCUACGGAGCUGUGACUGUUAUGCAGGUUGUAGGACAUAAAGAAGGUCUAGAUGUCAUGGAGAGAGCUGACCCACUAUUCCUCUUAAUUGGACUUCCAACCAUUCCAGUUAUGCUUAUUUUGGGCAAGAUGAUUCGUUGGGAAGACUACGUUCUGAGACUCUGGCGAAAAUACUCCAAUAAGUUGCAGAUUUUAAAUAGUAUAUUUCCAGGAAUAGGUUGUCCAGUUCCUCGUGUUCCAGCUGAGGCCAGCCCCUUAGCGGACCAUGUGUCAGCUACUCGCAUUCUUUGUGGUGCUUUGGUUUUUCCUACAAUUGCUACGAUAGUUGGUAAAUUAAUGUUCAGCAGUGUCAACUCAAAUUUGCAAAGGACAAUUUUGGGUGGUAUUGCCUUUGUAGCUAUCAAAGGGGCUUUUAAAGUGUACUUCAAGCAGCAACAGUAUUUGCGUCAGGCCCACCGCAAGAUAUUAAAUUUUCCAGAAGAGGAAGCAUGAGAUGUCUGACUGAAGUGCUGUCCUGUUCCACAAGCUCACCAAGAAUUUUCAGAACCACUGAAUGCUGAGAAGUCCAGCAAGCCUUCACCUCCCUCUCCCACCUCCUCAACUCAAUGUGAGCCCAGGAAAGAAUGGGAUCUCUGGCUCUGUCUGACACUCAACUGAACAAGAAGGUGCAAAAGAAUAAAGGUGUUCUGGAAUGUGUCCAUACAGUUCCACUGAAUUGUGAACAACUUUGCAAAAUUGCACCAGUAACUGAAGAAAGCAAGAAAGAUAAAUAUUAGAAGUAAGUUCCGUUGCCUUGUAGAGCAAAAUAGUGCAACUGUUGAAAUCCUGAAUGAAAUGAAAACAGAAACUGCUGCAAAAGUUUGUAUUUUUUUAUUAUUGGGAUACAGCGCGGAAUUGGCCCUUCGAACCAGGCAACCCCCAACUUAACCCUAGCCUAAUCACGGGACAAUUUACAACAGGUAUGUCUUUGGAAUGUGGGAGGAAACUAGAGCACCUGGAGGAAACCCACGCGGUCACUGAAGAAUGUACAAACUCCUUACAGGCAGUGGCAGGAAUUGAACCCUGGUUGCCUGCACUUUAAAGCAUUGUGCUAACCAUUAUGCUACCGCGCUGCCCCAAUGACAUCUCAUUUAAUCUGCAAGAAGUCAGAUCAAAAGAAAGGCAGCCUUACUGUUUUAAAUUCACUAAUAUAAUCCAACAUGUAAGCACUUUAAAAACAGUAAAUGUCUGAGUAUAUUUCUGCAGGUCAGACCACUUUCUAACGCCCCAGAGUCCACUGCACAAGGAAGGUAUCUUCAAAACUUCUUUUGAUCAUUAUUUUGAAAACCGUUCUAAGCGAAUGUUUAUUAUGUCAAACUUUUCCAUCUUCAUGCAUAUUACAUAAGCAAAUGAAACAUGAUCCAUUGUCACUCUAGAAUCAAACUGAAUUACUAAUCAGCUUUCUACAUUAUUGGAUAGAUUUCUUUUGUUUCAAUCAUCUUUAACUGGUUCUAAACUUGGCCAGUAGAAUGUCUACCUUCUGUGUUCACUCAGCUUAUUAUUUCUAUUAAAUAUUUUUUAUAAUUUAAGUAUAGUCAAAUUAAUUCAAAAUCUCUAGAAUAGUGUUUACUUUGCACAGUUGUCACUGACUUCAUUAAAUCCUGUGUGGUUAAGUGUAUGCCUACUAUGUCAGGGUGCUGUUAUUGACAAUAGCUCAGCAUUUAACACCAUGAUUCCUACAGCCCUGAACGAAAAGCUCCAAAACCUAGGCCUCUGUACAUCUCUCUGCAGCUGGAUCCCUAACUUCCUAACCGGAAAACCACAAUCUGUGCGGAUUGGAAAUAACAUCUCCACCUCUCUGACAAUCAACACUGGUGCACCUCAGGGAUGUGUGCUUAGCCCACUGCUCUACUCUCUCUUCACCCAUGACUGUGAGGCUAUGCAUAGCUCAAAUGCCAUCUAUAAAUAUGCUGAAUUGUCUGCAGGAUUUCAGAUGGUGAUGAAAGGCAGGACAGGAGCGAGUUAUACCAGUUAGUUGAGUGGUGUCGCAGCAACAACCUUACACUCAACAUCAGCAAGACCAAAGUGCUGAUUGUGGACUUUAGGAAGGGUAAGACGAGGGAACACACACCAAUCCCUAUAGAGGGAUCGGAUGUGGAGAGAGAGAGAGUGAGCAAUUUUAAGUCCCUGGCUAUCAAUAUCUCUGAAGAACUAACCUGGACACAUUAUAUUGAUGCAGUUAUAAAGAAGGCAAGACAGCAGCUAUAUUUCAUUAGGAGUUUGAGGAGAUUUGGUUUGUCAACUAAAACAUUCAAAAACUACUAAUGUACUGUGGAGAGCAUUCUGUCUGCAUCACUGGUGGGAAACUACUGCGCAGGAGAUUUAAUAGACAUAUAUAUACUUGCCGUAAUUCAGGUUUUUCUCUAUUUAUUUGUCAUAUAUUUCAUUGUACUACUGCUGUAAAGUUAACAAAUUUCAUGACGUAUGCCGGUGACGUUGAUUCUGAUUCUGAGUUUUAUACCCUUUUGUGUUGCCUCAAGAUAGUACAGACACAUGACAUAUUAUUUAAAGGCAGUUUAAACUCAGGUAAAUAUGCAACAAUGAUGUGCUCAAGCAGAAUUUAUCAUAAUUAUCAGUAAUGAGGUGAAGUUAAAGAACUGUAAUAAUUAUUGUAACUAUUGUGGUUUAAUAUACACUCAGUAGUUACUUUAUUUGGUAAACCUGUACACCUGCUCGCUAAUAGAAAUAUAUAAUCAGCCAAUCACAUGGUAGCAACUCAAUGCAUGCAGACUAGAGGGUCAGUUGUUGUUCAAAGCAUACAUCAGACUGGGGAAGAAAUGUGAUCUAAGUGACUUUAACUGCAGAAUGAUUGUUGGUGCCAGAUGGGUUGGUUUGAGUAUCUCAAAAGCUGCUGAUCUCCUGGGAUUUUCACACACAACAGUCUCUAGAGUUUACGGAGAAUGUUGCGAAAAGCAAAAGAUACCCAGUGAGCAGCAGUUCUGUAGGUGAAAAUGCCUUAUUAACGAGAAACGUCAGAGAAGAAUGGCUGACAGGAAAGCGACAGUAACUCCAUUAGCUAUGAGUUACAAUAGUGGUGUGCAGAAGAGCAUCUGUAAAGGUACAACAUGUCAAAGCUUGAGGUGGAUGGGCAGUAGACCAUAAACAUAGAGUACUGUGCAAAAGUCUUAAGCACCCUAGAUCUUUUAUAAUGGUAUCAGAUGGUAUGGCCGACACCUGAUCUCAACAUUAUCAAGGCUGUCUGGAAUUACCUUUAGAGACAGAAGCAAGUGAGACAGCUGAAGUCUGCAGAACUGUGGCAAGUUCUCCAAGAUGGUUGAAACCUACCAGCUGAUUUGCUUAUAAAACUGUAAGACAGUGUACUCAAGAGAACUGAUGCAGUUUUAAAAGCAAAGGGUGGUCACAAUGUAAUAAAGUUUAGUUUUUCACUGUUUACUGCUCUUUAUAGUAAUUUUUUUGAUAUUUACAAACUUUCUAUUUCAUAUUUUUGAAAGCAUCUUCGCUUUACAUAAUUUGUUACCUGUGUUUAAGACUUUUGCUCAGUACUGUAACUCAGUGGCCACUUUAUUAGGUACAGGAUGUACCUGAUAGUGUGGUCACUAACUGUAUUAGCUAUCUUCAUAAUGAGUUUGUAGUGUGAUUUAAGUGAAAGUGGUCAAUAACUUUCUUCAAAAGGAUCAAUCUCCAUACUUUAUAAUGAAAAUAAUACACCCAAAUUUUCAAAUUUUACCAACAAUCUCAAUAGGAAUCUUAAAAAUGCAUUGAUGUGGAAAUAUAUUUCUAAAUGCAAGCAAAGCUAAGACUGUGAGGAUCCAGGUUUCAUUGUGUGCAUUGAUACAGUACUCUAUUUUACAGAGGAAGCAAGUAAGCUGUUAUAGUUGCAUUCUGCUCCCUUUCAUUUGAAGGGCAUAAAGUUCAGCUGCCCUUCUCACUCUUGCUUGUUGCCACGUCACAACAGCUGGGAAAUGUGAUUGCUGAUAAAAACAAGACUGGACUCAGCGCGUAAGCACAAGGGCCCUUGUAAGCCAUAUAUCACCUGCAGCCAAUUCCAAGAUUCAUCCGGAUCACCGCCUAUCUUUUACAUCCAUCCUGUUUGUACCCAGUCCCUGCUGAUCCUUAAUAAAUGUUUAUUCUUGAACAACACCGAUGAAGGACUUUGUUCUAAUUGUUCUAAUUGUGUUGUUGCUUGUAAAAAUUGUGUCUACUUUAUGCUUUUCUUGUGAAUGCUGCUUAUAUGUUGCUAAGUGACAGUAAGAUUUUCAUUAUUCCUGUGCAUGCAUGCACUUGUGCAUUUGGCAAUAAACCCGACUUUGACUGACUUUUUGCUUUAUGUACUGUAACCUCUGUUUCCAGCUAUUUUCUUGCAAUAGACUGAUCCUGGAAUGCAUAGUAUUUGAAAAUAAAAUAAGCCACCUGUUGACUUUGA
RNA transcript from Hypanus sabinus (Atlantic stingray), 5158 nucleotides. It is a transcript of the gene named membrane-associated ring finger (C3HC4) 5, with no coding region annotated. The record is from RefSeq and is a predicted model, not a curated record. NCBI's taxonomy places the organism in Eukaryota, Metazoa, Chordata, Chondrichthyes, Myliobatiformes, Dasyatidae. The transcript has 8 exons.